UGUGAGGCAUGCAGUUUUGAUCAUUUUUAUUGGGAAAUCUACUAUAGGCCUUCCAUAGCCUGUGCUCAGUCUACUGCACCGUUAUAUGCAGAACAUGUACAACGUAGGCUAGGCCUUCUACAACCUCGUACCCAGGGCUUCCGCUUGUGACUUUCAGGCAGACGCCCUGGAUACUAGGCAGUGGCGUGACCAGGGUUUACAA
Non-coding RNA from Paramuricea clavata, 202 nucleotides. The record is from the annotation of a GenBank genome assembly. Lineage: Eukaryota; Metazoa; Cnidaria; Anthozoa; Malacalcyonacea; Plexauridae.